GACGAACGCUGGCGGCGUGCCUAACACAUGCAAGUCGAACGGAAACGCCCUGCUUUUGUGCGCUGCUCGAGUGGCGAACGGGUGAGUAACACGUGAGUAACGUGACCUUCACUUUGGUAUGACUUAAGGAAAGUGAGGCUAAUCCCGGAUAGGAUCUCCUGCACCAUGGUGGGCGGUGGAACGUUUCGGCGGUUGGGGUUGGACGGGCCGCUUACCGGCUUGUUAGUGGGGUAGUGGCAUACCAAGGCAGGGAACGGUAGCCGGCCGGUGAGGGUGACCGGCCACAAUGGGACUGAGGUACGGCCCAGAGUGCAACGGGAGGCAGCAGUGGGGAGUAUUACACAGUGGGCGGGAGCCUGAUACGAAGACGCCGCGUGCGGGAAGACGGCCUUCGGGUUGUGAACCGCUUUCGCCUGAGACGAAGCGUGAGUGACGGUAAUGGGUAAAGAAGCACCGGCUAACUACGUG
This 468-nucleotide ribosomal RNA is filed under the name uncultured bacterium. RNAcentral describes it as "partial 16S ribosomal RNA". It matches the Rfam family "Bacterial small subunit ribosomal RNA", at positions 28 to 507 of the family's 1533-position model. The record is from RNAcentral.